UAUAAGGGAUUUUGAGUUUUUGCUUGCAGCGUUUGACCACUCGUCUUAUUCAAAUUUUUUUGAAAUUAUUAAUUAUUUUAUUUGUGACUUACUUUAUAUCUACAGUACUUUAAGCACAACUUUUCAUUUUUAUAUUUGCAUCUAAUAGAUUUGAAUAAGACGAGUGCUCAAACGUUGCAAGCAAAAACUUAAAAUCCCUUAUA
This 203-nucleotide microRNA precursor is filed under the name Oryza sativa Indica Group (long-grained rice). RNAcentral's name for it is "MIR812 microRNA precursor family". It matches the Rfam family "MIR812 microRNA precursor family". The record is from Rfam by way of RNAcentral. Lineage: Eukaryota; Viridiplantae; Streptophyta; Magnoliopsida; Poales; Poaceae.